UAAAAUGUAUCGACAAAGUAUGCUUCGAGGAAUGUCACUCGCACUUUGGCUCAGUAAUCUAACAAAUUUAAUUAAUGUCUGGUCCACAGCCGAACCUUGUGAUUAACUAGAGGACAGUAAACGUGAAUGCCACUAAAUACUUAUUUAAAGAAAAGGACACGAAGCGAAUUCGAGGAAUCUGCAGAACUGGCAGUUGUCAAAGGACGAGCAUGCAGACCAAAACAGACAGCAGAACAACAGCAAGGAAAGCACAUAAAAUGGACAAAGAUUCACACACACACGCACGCUGGCAAGUAAAGCGGAAACUAGGAACGCUAACGGAAAUGCAGCAGCUUUAUAAGGAAACAGCUUGGACAAGUUGGCAAGGCAGAAAAACAGAAAGAGAGACAGAUAGAAUAGCACAGGCAAGGAGCAAGCUGGCCUGGCAGUCAAGUGGCCCUGGUUUCAACUAAAACUAGACGCCCGAGUUGUUAUUUCUGAUUUUGUUGGUUUUACAGUUAACGGACUCUCAGCUGUGGCAUGCUUCGUAAAGCUGCAAUGGGCGGCACUUGGCGGCUGACUUUGAUUCUAUUUAAAGCAAACAACACACACAAAUGAUGCCCCGUUCGUGCCUUGUCUUGCCCAACUGAACUUCGACUACUGUUACUGCAACUGCAACUGUAACUGCAAUACCAUUAAAGUAAAUUAUGUGGCAAAUGACAAAUGCAACGUUGAAAGCAAAAAGAGGAAACAGAGGAAAACGUAGAACCGCAAAACUUAGCAAUGAUGCAUAAGUGUUCAUGUAUUUCGGCAUUACUUAAACUCAACAUGGAAGCGCAACGCAAAAGUUUCUUAAACAUUUUCCCGACGCUCGUCAUCUGUCAGCAUCAGCAUCAGUAUCAGCGUCAG
Long non-coding RNA from Drosophila nasuta, 888 nucleotides. RefSeq lists it as uncharacterized. The record is from RefSeq and is a predicted model, not a curated record. NCBI's taxonomy places the organism in Eukaryota, Metazoa, Arthropoda, Insecta, Diptera, Drosophilidae. The transcript is spliced from 3 exons.